This 1355-nucleotide long non-coding RNA is filed under the name Marmota monax (woodchuck). Lineage: Eukaryota; Metazoa; Chordata; Mammalia; Rodentia; Sciuridae. The record is from RNAcentral.
CCAUUUUUGUGGACUAUCACUUCUGGUCACAUAUGAGAACCUAAUAAGCCCGCCUUUUAUAAUUAUACUUCUUGUUGAUUCUGUUCCUCUAGAGAAGCCUAAUACAUGGGGUAAGGGGCCCCAGGCCUGACAGCAAUCCCUCUGAACUUCACCAUGGUGGGGACACCACUUCCGAGUCCAGGUCCAGUGGGUUGGCUUGUUGGCCAUGACCUGGGAGGAGUAGAGUGGACAGUGAGUUGGGAUGGCAGCCCAGCCUCACCUGCUCACAGCGCUGGCUUAGAAGCCCAUUCGUGCCCACAGUAUGUCCCUUGAGUCCUAGAACUUCCCCACCCGGGAAUGCCAAUCUUCCCCCAGGGCCCGUGGGAAAAAAAUCUCACAUUUAGGUUUCUCCAAGUCCUCCUCCAUCUCAUUUGCUAGGAACACAAGGGCAUGAGGUCAAGGGUCAAGUCUAUGGCCUCCGCCCUGUCCUAUCCUACCAUACCCUCACCCUCAGGAGUGUCCCGCUGCCCACUCCUGCCACUCAUAGUGCCAGGAACUGCUGUGGUUGUGCUCACAGAGCGUCAGGUUAGCACACCGGAAGGAGACCAGCCCCACAGCCAGGAGGAACUGCAGACAGGCUGGGGCAGCCAGAGGCCCUGGGGAUGAGGCCAGCAGCCAGGUUCCUUCACACCCCAGAGGUUUUGGACAGGGAAGAAAAGACAGUAAAAUGAGGGGCCCAGCAAAGAUAAGGGGAAGGGUUCCCCCAACAGUCCAGGGGACCCAGCAGCACUGAAUCCCAUUAAGUCAACCUUCUACUCAAGUGACCCCAGCCUCUACACCCCACUUUGCUUCCUUACCGUAUCUGAAAUCUGGAAGCAGGUGUCUUUGGAGAGGAACUCCUGGAAAAAGCUGUCCUCUGGAGGUAGAGAAGAAAAACAGGGGACACAGGUCAUGCCCCAUAGAUAAAAUGGUCAAAGCCCAAACCACCACUGAACCCAUGUUCUGACAAGAUUCCCCUCCCACCUGCCACACGUGACCAGAGAGGCUUGGGAGGCCGGCUUGAGCAGAGCAGGACCCUGCCUUCCACAGCUCUUUGCAUUCUUGACCCCAUCACCCCUCCCAUGCCAGCCUCCCGAAACUCACCCAGAAUGUUGAGGAAGGCCUGGACUCCUGGCCCUGGUGGGGAUGAAGAAACCCAUUACCCCCCCCCCCUUGUUGGCUGCAGUCCCCCAACUUCUCUGGGUGAUAACCACGGGAACAAUGGCAGGGUCUCCGGUAUCACUUAUCUCACAGGGAGUAGGAGCAGGGUGGGGCAGGGUGGAGCAAGGGGACCUGCAGAUACAGCAGCCUCAGGACUUGGUACCUAUACAAUGAUC